Molecule: ribosomal RNA, 523 nt
Filed under: soil fungal sp. DM021
Lineage: Eukaryota; Fungi
Description: partial 28S rRNA
Rfam family: Eukaryotic large subunit ribosomal RNA
Source: RNAcentral
GCGAGUGAGCGNCAAGAGCUCCAAAUUUGAAAGCUGGCUCCUNNNNNNNNNUNNUGUAAUUUGCAGAGGAUGCUUCGGGAGCGGCCCCCAUCUAAGUGCCCUGGAACGGGCCGUCAUAGAGGGUGAAAAUCCCGUCUGGGAUGGGGUGUCCGCGCCCGUGUGAAGCUCCUUCGACGAGUCGAGUUGUUUGGGAAUGCAGCUCUAAAUGGGUGGUAAAUUUCAUCUAAAGCUAAAUAUUGGCCGGAGACCGAUAGCGCACAAGUAGAGUGAUCGAAAGAUGAAAAGCACUUUGAAAAGAGAGUUAAACAGCACGUGAAAUUGUUGAAAGGGAAGCGCUUGCGACCAGACUCGCCCACGGGGUUCAGCCGGCAUUCGUGCCGGUGUACUUCCCCGCGGGCGGGCCAGCGUCGGUUUGGGCGGCCGGUCAAAGGCCCUCGGAAUGUAACGCCCCCCGGGGCGUCUUAUAGCCGAGGGUGCCAUGCGGCCAGCCCAGACCGAGGAACGCGCUUCGGCUCGGACGCUG